This 73-nucleotide transfer RNA is filed under the name Rhodococcus phage Trina. RNAcentral's name for it is "tRNA-Pro". It matches the Rfam family "tRNA". From Rfam's summary of the family: Transfer RNA (tRNA) molecules are approximately 80 nucleotides in length. Their secondary structure includes four short double-helical elements and three loops (D, anti-codon, and T loops). The record is from RNAcentral. Lineage: Duplodnaviria; Heunggongvirae; Uroviricota; Caudoviricetes.
CGGGUGCGAGGAAGAUGGUAAUCCACUUGUUUUGGGAACAAGAUAAACCGAGUUCGAUUCUCGGGCAUCCGAC